Molecule: long non-coding RNA, 396 nt
Organism: Seriola aureovittata
Lineage: Eukaryota; Metazoa; Chordata; Actinopteri; Carangiformes; Carangidae
Exons: 4
Source: RefSeq, a predicted model, not a curated record
CUUUUAGAGAGGAAGAAACAAGUCCAGACCAAGAUAAGACAGCAGGGAGACAGCAUGCACCGUGAACCCUCUCAUUUACAAAGAGAAUGAGCGGAGGAAAUUUCACAAGGAGGAAGCAAGAAGAACACAACCAAACGAGACAAGCAGAGAAGAAAGGAGAAAACAUCAUUUAAGAAAGUAUAUGUUUAAUCUGGGAUAUUAACAGAAUUUCUAUACUGACUUAUUUCUUUUUUUUUUGCCAUUGCUUUAGUUGUUAACUGUUCCCCCUCAUCUGUUUUGGAAAGAGGAGAGUAACCAACACAAGGAAACACCGUGCACUAGAGAAGAGAGGGUGAGAGAAGAGGAGAGAGAGAAGAGGAGUGGAGACAAGACAAGGGGAGAAGAAAAGAGACAGCG